Larimichthys crocea (large yellow croaker) is the source of this 1451-nucleotide long non-coding RNA. RefSeq lists it as uncharacterized. NCBI's taxonomy places the organism in Eukaryota, Metazoa, Chordata, Actinopteri, Sciaenidae. The transcript has 3 exons. The record is from RefSeq and is a predicted model, not a curated record.
UUUACAUUGUGAAAAUGCUCAGGGGGCAAUACUGACAUUUAAAAAAUGAACUGUUCUCUAACAAUUUUAUUUUCAUUGUCACAAUUAUCAUUUUAAACUGAAUGAAGCUGAUACAAAUCUGAAGCUCAUGUUCAUUUUAAACAUGACUUAUUAUGAAAUGAAGUUUAAAGCAAAUCUUUGUUGACACUGAGCCAAUGUCAACAAAGAUUUGACACACACUCAACAUGCAGCAUCUCUUCCCACCCGUGUUCAUACUGUGUGCACAACACGUCAUUUACUUCAUAAAGUCUGUGAGUCUGAGAUCAGAAACUUUCUUACUGUUUUUAUCUCCAAGUAUUAUUCCAGGCAGGAGACAGAGGAGAGACCAGGACAGAGCUGCAACAUCCAUGAUGACAACUCCGACAAAGUCCUUAACCCGAGAAGAUGAACUUCAGUUCGAGUUCGUUAAAGUCCGUCAGAUAUUUGAAGUUAAAUGUCGAACAAACAGUGAAGCUCUUGAAUGAACUUGUACCAGACAUUGAAAUCAGAAAGUCGUCAGGAUGUAACACCAGGCUGAAGAGUUCACCGGGAGAACGACAAAGCAGGAUAGUCAGAGGCAGGCGAGACUGUGGACGAGAGAGGCAUAAAUAGUGAAAGUAGGAGGUUCACCCAAGGACUCAGAUGUGAUGUGUAUGGUGUUGACGGAACUCAUUCAUGCUUCACCGAGGAGAGAAACUGUUUUAACCAAAGAUUUUGUUGUUAAACCAAAGACGGUAAGUUAUAAUUUUAUUGAUACUAUAAAGUUCCUGUUAAUGCUGGACAGAUGUAACGUUUCAGAUCUGACAGCAGAGGGAGCUGGUUUUCAAAGUAAAAGGGUCAAAUCUGUUCCACCAACGUUUAACCGAGAAAUGAGUCCGGGUUCUUCUGGGUUCAUUUAAUUUGAGAACUCUGCUCUGAGCUGAUCACGCUAACUGUCUGAAGUGAUCUUUGUGUGUUUGCUUUCAUUUAUAUUGAUGAAGUUUGGAUAAAGUCGUAACAUUAUUAGCUUGUUUCUUCUUCAUCAGUUCAGCUGGAUCUGUCGUCUGUUAUCAUGGACAGCUGAAGACAGACAGACAGACAGACAGACAGACAGGAACUCAACAAAACCCACAGAAGUGAUCUUUUUGGGGUGAACUGUCCCUUUAAAUGACCAUUGAGUCAUCAUCAUGGACAUGAAAUGAGCUUAACAAAGGUUUAUUGAAGAGCUUUUGUGCAAAUGUACAGACUGGAAACAGUUACACGUUUGUAGUAAACGGGCGAAUAUAUGCAAAACCAGCAGUAGAGUCCUUAAAACAGGGCUUCAUCAGCCCACGAGGACCUCGAAGACCUCGAAGACCUCGAGGAUCGGCGUGAGAAGACAGUCCGGCGGUCAUCUUUGUUGUCCCAGAGUGUCGAGGAACGUCAGCUCGUGCUACAUGAUCAUCUACGACUAA